GUCAAAACCUCAAAAGGGAGUGCUCUGGAAGAGAUUCCUCAUAGAAAAGGAGGAGAAAGCCAUUCCACAUUAUUACAUGAAAACCCUCGAGCAAUGGUACAUAGGGUGGUUGUAGUAUUUCAAGUCAAUGUUAUUGUAGGCAGCCACAGUAAUAUUGACUGUUGAGUGUUGCAUUAUGCAUGUAAUAAUCCGAACUUUUUUAGACAAUCAAAACACAUUGUAUUUCAUUUUGGCCAGUUUCACCCAGCAGAAGUUGCUUGAUCUAGCUUCCAGGGGAUAACUGAGCAAGUAAAGUAAUUCUCAUUGAAAGCACCAGAGUACCAGUUUGCCUCUUCUUCAAUCCCACCUCCUGCCAUUAAUCCUCAGAAGUUUGUUGACCUAAAAUUUUUUUUUUUUUUUUUUUUGAGGAAAAUGGUUCCGUGACUAGAAUUCUAGUACUAAACUUUUGCACGUCGACUGAGAAGGAAUGUUGCAAAUUAGUGUAUAAGUCCACCAACUAGGUGAGUCUUAACUAUUAUUAUUUUUUUGGUUUUUUUUGGGUGACAAAAACCCCCUUCCUUGCCCAUACACACAGAGCAUCUAUUAAAGUCGUCAGAGCAUUUUUCUAGGACGUCAUUCUACCAACAACCUGUGCUUAUUUUAACGACUUCUUCUUUCAGGUGAAGAUGGUUCUGCACCAUCAAGCCCCUUCCUUCAGGAGGAUGUCAUGUCAAUGCUAGGUCUGGAAUUUGUCAAAGAGCAGGCAGAAGCUUCUCAACAGGAACCAGAACCCACGGUAUCUAUCUCCUCUGUUGUUCCUGAGGUAAAACCUGCUGCUGAUAAGAAGAAGAUCAAGCCGAAAUGGUUGAAAAUGUGACAUGGCUGGCUUCACUAGGCGAUAAUUUCUCUUCCUCUCCACGAAUCUGUUGUUGCUGGUUGUUCACUGACAUGUUAUGAUAGGCAGGCUAAAUGUUUUGCACUGGUCAUGUUUAUGGGAGCAUGAAAUUUGAGUCUCACAAAAUUGUUAACAAUUCGCUAUUCUGUCGAGGUGUUUGAGAUUUUAAGCUCUGUAAUAAAGCAACUUGUUAUUCAUCAUUGUUUCAUAAUGUGAAUAUUGUCAGAUAAAAUCUGUUUUGCAUACUUAUUUUAGAUAAAAAUUGUCAAAGGUCAUUAAAGAUGUAUGUUAUUCAGGAAAUUGACAUACUGUCCUACCAACCGUGAGUCAG
RNAcentral lists this long non-coding RNA (1205 nucleotides) under Olea europaea subsp. europaea. The record is from RNAcentral. Lineage: Eukaryota; Viridiplantae; Streptophyta; Magnoliopsida; Lamiales; Oleaceae.